Molecule: transfer RNA, 72 nt
Filed under: Heterocephalus glaber (naked mole-rat)
Lineage: Eukaryota; Metazoa; Chordata; Mammalia; Rodentia; Bathyergidae
Rfam family: tRNA
About the family: Transfer RNA (tRNA) molecules are approximately 80 nucleotides in length.
Source: Rfam by way of RNAcentral
GGGAGUGUAACUUAGUGGUAAAGCACUUGGCUGUCAUGCAUGAGACCCUGGGUUUAAUUCCCAGUACCACCA